Molecule: ribosomal RNA, 484 nt
Filed under: uncultured bacterium
Lineage: Bacteria
Description: partial 16S ribosomal RNA
Rfam family: Bacterial small subunit ribosomal RNA
Source: RNAcentral
AUUGAACGCUGGCGGAAUGCUUUACACAUGCGAGUCGAACGGCAGCACGGGGGCAGCCCUGGUGGCGAGUGGCGAACGGGUGAGUAAUACAUCGGAACGUGCCCGGUCGUGGGGGAUAACGUAGCGAAAGUUACGCUAAUACCGCAUACGAUCUGAGGAUGAAAGCGGGGGACCUUCGGGCCUCGCGCGAUCGGAGCGGCCGAUGUCAGAUUAGGUAGUUGGUGGGGUAAAGGCCUACCAAGCCGACGAUCUGUAGCUGGUCUGAGAGGACGACCAGCCACACUGGGACUGAGACACGGCCCAGACUCCUACGGGAGGCAGCAGUGGGGAAUUUUGGACAAUGGGCGCAAGCCUGAUCCAGCCAUUCCGCGUGCAGGACGAAGGCCUUCGGGUUGCAAACUGCUUUUGUACGGAACGAAAAGGCUCUGGCUAAUACCUGGGGCUCAUGACGGUACCGUAAGAAUAAGCACCGGCUAACUACGUG